GGGUAAUAGCUCAGUGGUAGAGCGCAUGCUUAGCAUACACAAGGUCCUGGGUUCAAUCCCCAGUUAUGUCCA
Molecule: transfer RNA, 72 nt
Filed under: Camelus bactrianus (Bactrian camel)
Lineage: Eukaryota; Metazoa; Chordata; Mammalia; Artiodactyla; Camelidae
Also listed under: 2 other names
Rfam family: tRNA
About the family: Transfer RNA (tRNA) molecules are approximately 80 nucleotides in length. Their secondary structure includes four short double-helical elements and three loops (D, anti-codon, and T loops).
Source: Rfam by way of RNAcentral